This 253-nucleotide ribosomal RNA is filed under the name uncultured bacterium. RNAcentral's name for it is "partial 16S ribosomal RNA". It matches the Rfam family "Bacterial small subunit ribosomal RNA", at positions 524 to 776 of the family's 1533-position model. The record is from RNAcentral.
AACGUAGGUGGCGAGCGUUAUCCGGAUUUACUGGGCGUAAAGGGCGCGUAGGCGGCAAUUCAAGUCAGCUGUGAAAUCUCCGGGCUUAACUCGGAACGGUCAGCUGAUACUGUUUUGCUAGAGUGCAGAAGGGGCAAUCGGAAUUCUUGGUGUAGCGGUGAAAUGCGUAGAUAUCAAGAGGAACACCUGAGGUGAAGACGGGUUGCUGGGCUGACACUGACGCUGAUGCGCGAAAGCCAGGGGAGCAAACGGG